UGGGGAAUAUUGGACAAUGGGCGAAAGCUUGAUCCAGCCAUGCCGCGUGUGUGAAGAAGGUCUUCGGAUUGUAAAGCACUUUAAGUUGGGAGGAAGGGCAGUAAGCGAAUACCUUGCUGUUUUGACGUUACCGACAGAAUAAGCACCGGCUAACUCUGUGCCAGCAGCCGCGGUAAUACAGAGGGUGCAAGCGUUAAUCGGAAUUACUGGGCGUAAAGCGCGCGUAGGUGGUUCGUUAAGUUGAAUGUGAAAGCCCCGGGCUCAACCUGGGAAAGGCAUCCAAAACUGGCGGGCUAGAGUAGGGCAGAGGGUGGUGGAAUUUCCUGUGUAGCGGUGAAAUGCGUAGAUAUAGGAAGGAACACCAGUGGCGGAGGCGACCACCUGGGCUCAUACUGACACUGGGGUGCGAAAGCGUGGGGAGCAAACAAG
RNAcentral lists this ribosomal RNA (429 nucleotides) under Pseudomonadota bacterium. Its description in RNAcentral is "Proteobacteria bacterium partial 16S ribosomal RNA". It matches the Rfam family "Bacterial small subunit ribosomal RNA", at positions 355 to 776 of the family's 1533-position model. The record is from RNAcentral. Lineage: Bacteria; Pseudomonadati; Pseudomonadota.